GAAGCGCGCCAGACCGCCGCUGGUGCGAUCUGGGAAACCAGGCACUGGAGGAACGUCCGGACUGCACAGGACGGCGUAGCAGCUAACGGCUGCCCACCGCGAGGUGAGGAUCAGAGCAACAGAGACGAGUCCGGCGGGAGUGCCGCAAGGCAGACCAGCCGGGGUGAAACGGGCAAUCUCUACGCGCAGCAAUACCAAGUAGGCCAGCGUUGACGUGGUUCCGCGGAGCUGGCGGGUAGGUAGCAUCGAGCCGGGUGGGCGACCCCUGGCCCAGAGUAAUGGCGGUCACAUGCGGGCAACCGCAUGCACAGAAUCCGGCUUAUCGGCGCGCUUCACAC
Molecule: RNase P RNA, 338 nt
Filed under: Paracidovorax anthurii
Lineage: Bacteria; Pseudomonadati; Pseudomonadota; Betaproteobacteria; Burkholderiales; Comamonadaceae
Description: Acidovorax anthurii Bacterial RNase P class A
Rfam family: Bacterial RNase P class A
About the family: Ribonuclease P (RNase P) is a ubiquitous endoribonuclease, found in archaea, bacteria and eukarya as well as chloroplasts and mitochondria. Its best characterised activity is the generation of mature 5'-ends of tRNAs by cleaving the 5'-leader elements of precursor-tRNAs.
Source: Rfam by way of RNAcentral